This 223-nucleotide ribosomal RNA is filed under the name uncultured bacterium. RNAcentral describes it as "partial 16S ribosomal RNA". It matches the Rfam family "Bacterial small subunit ribosomal RNA", at positions 111 to 334 of the family's 1533-position model. The record is from RNAcentral.
UAACGCGUGGGUAACCUGCCUCACACAGGAGGAUAACAGUUAGAAAUGACUGCUAAUACCGCAUAACCCGAUAGGAUCGCAUGAUCCAGACGGAAAGGAUUUAUCGGUGUGAGAUGGACCCGCGUCUGAUUAGCUAGUUGGUGAGGUAACGGCCCACCAAGGCGACGAUCAGUAGCCGGCCUGAGAGGGUGAACGGCCACAUUGGGACUGAGACACGGCCCAG